This 72-nucleotide transfer RNA is filed under the name Marmota marmota marmota (Alpine marmot). It matches the Rfam family "tRNA". Rfam says of the family: Transfer RNA (tRNA) molecules are approximately 80 nucleotides in length. Their secondary structure includes four short double-helical elements and three loops (D, anti-codon, and T loops). Lineage: Eukaryota; Metazoa; Chordata; Mammalia; Rodentia; Sciuridae. The record is from Rfam by way of RNAcentral. RNAcentral also lists the same sequence under 1 other name.
UGGGUUGCAGCUCAGUGGUAGAGCACUUGCCUCACAUGUAUGAAGUACUGGGUUCGAUACUCAGCACCACAU